UACGGAGGGUGCAAGCGUUAGGAGGAAUCACUGGGCGUAAAGGGCGCGUAGGCGGCCUAGCAAGUCUGGUGUGAAAGCCCAGGGCUCAACCCUGGAAGGGCACUGGAAACUGUUAGGCUUGAGUUCCGGAGAGGAGGGGGGAAUUCCCGGUGUAGCGGUGAAAUGCGUAGAUAUCGGGAGGAAUACCGGUGGCGAAGGCGCCCCUCUGGACGGAAACUGACGCUGAGGCGCGAAAGCGUGGGGAGCAAACAGG
This 253-nucleotide ribosomal RNA is filed under the name uncultured bacterium. RNAcentral's name for it is "partial 16S ribosomal RNA". It matches the Rfam family "Bacterial small subunit ribosomal RNA", at positions 524 to 776 of the family's 1533-position model. The record is from RNAcentral.